Molecule: ribosomal RNA, 450 nt
Filed under: uncultured bacterium
Lineage: Bacteria
Description: bacterial SSU rRNA
Rfam family: Bacterial small subunit ribosomal RNA
Source: RNAcentral
GUGGGGAAUAUUGGACAAUGGGCGAAAGCCUGAUCCAGCCAUGCCGCGUGUGUGAAGAAGGUCUUCGGAUUGUAAAGCACUUUAAGUUGGGAGGAAGGGCAGUAAGUUAAUACCUUGCUGUUUUGACGUUACCGACAGAAUAAGCACCGGCUAACUUCGUGCCAGCAGCCGCGGUAAUACGAAGGGUGCAAGCGUUAAUCGGAAUUACUGGGCGUAAAGCGCGCGUAGGUGGUUUUGUAAGUUGGAGGUGAAAUCCCCGGGCUCAACCUGGGAACUGCCUCCAAAACUGCAUGACUAGAGUACGGUAGAGGGUAGUGGAAUUUCCUGUGUAGCGGUGAAAUGCGUAGAUAUAGGAAGGAACACCAGUGGCGAAGGCGACUACCUGGACUGAUACUGACACUGAGGUGCGAAAGCGUGGGGAGCAAACAGGAUUAGAAACCCUGGUAGUCC